UUUUGAACGUGAUCGUAAACUUUAUAUCGUAAAAAAAAUGCGUAACAAUAAAAUAGCUGCCGGAAAGUAUAUGGAUGAAGUGGUGGUGAGGAGGUGGCAAAGGGUCGGAGCGGUUGAUACUUUCGUUUCAGAGCCACGUUCGAAUAUAUGUUGUGCAUGACAAGAAAACAUAAUGUAUCAGGAAACAGCUGGGAUGUUACGGGGUGAUUUAAUUUAUUUCCAUAGAUGUCGAUAAAUCGUUGCUAACGAAAAACGAUUCUGUGCAAAAGUUUGGUUU
Non-coding RNA from Cinara cedri, 277 nucleotides. The record is from the annotation of a GenBank genome assembly. NCBI's taxonomy places the organism in Eukaryota, Metazoa, Arthropoda, Insecta, Hemiptera, Aphididae.